AUCGUUGUUGUGUUUUUUUUAUUUUUUUUUUUAUUUUUUUUUUUUUUUUGAGACAGAGUCUCGGUCUGUCGCCCAGGCUGGAGUGUAGUGGCGCAGAUACAAUAAUUGUUGCACAUUUUACACUAUGUAACUACUGACUAUAUUAUCCUGACAUUAAAGUGUUGAUGUCGGCCAAAAGUUGAUUUUCCCAGAUAGUGACUGCCACAUUCACUGUAGGUCCUUUCCUUUCUGCUGUAUAAUUUAGAUUCUUAACACUAAGGAACAUUGCCUAAAGGAGCACUUGCUCUUAAGUUCUCGAAGGAUGCUACAGCUCCUGAAGGAUGCUGUCUGCUGUACAGUUUUACUUGAAUAUACAACAGGUGGCUCUAAAUCACUAUGCAUCAAACUAUGUUCUUUAUCUCUUCCCCCAAACUUGAAGUGCUUUCUCAAGUAUCAGUUAAUGAGUUGACAUUAGCUAAGUUUACUUCCUUUCCUUCAGCACCUCCCUUUCCGUCAUCCAUCCUCCAUAAUAUCUCUAGCUUUCAACACCUUGGACUAGCUACAUAAUUCAUGAGGCCAGUGCAAAAUGAAAAUUUGGAACUCCUUGUUCAACACUACUAAGAAUUUCUAGACUGUGACAAAGAGAACAUUCAACCAAAUGUGGACCCUUGUGAGCGUGGGUCUCUGUGCAGCUGCUCAGACUGCUCAUCCAUGAAGCCAGCAUUUCUGUCACCUCUUUCUCUAAUUUUCUGAGGACUCUUGUCCUCCACUCUUGAAAAUCCUUUCUCUGUCAUCCUUUUCUGUAUUCUCUCCUCACCCUCACAGUCUAUCUCUUACAUCAGGGUUUUUCAAUCUCAGCACUAUUGACAUAUUAGACUAGACUGGAUAAUGUUUUUAUAAUUUCAACUUUCAUUUUAGAUUAAAGUGUACAUGUGCAUGUUUGUUACAUGAGCACCUAGCAUGAUGCUGAGGGUUGGGGUACGAAUGAUUCCAUUCCAGGUACUAAGAAUAGUACCCAAUAGGUAGUUUUUCAGCCCUUGCUCCUCUCCUUCUCUGCCCCAUCUAGUUGUCCUCUGUGUCUGUUGUUCCCAUCUUUAUGUCCAUGUGUACUCAAUGUUUAGCUCCCACUUACACGUGAGAACAUGCGGUAUUUGGUUUUCUGUUUCUGCAUUAGUUCACUGUUAAUGGCCUCCAGCUGCAUCCAUGUUCUCCAAAGGAGAUGAUUUUGUUCUUUCUUACAUCUGUGUAGGAUUCAUAGUGUAUAGGUAUGACAUUUUCUUUAUCCAAUCCACCACUGACAGGCACCUAGGUUGAUUCCAUGUCUUUGCUAUGGUGAAUAGUGCUGUGAUGAACAUGUGAGUGCAUGUUGGUCUGGAUAAUUCUUUGUUGUGAAGGACUAUUCUGUGCAUGUAAAAAUGUUUAGCAUUAUCCUUAGUCUCUGCUUACUAGAUUACCAGCACCCUUCUCCUUCCCCAGUUGUGAGAAUCAAAAACAUCUCCAGGCAUUCCCAUAUGUCCACUGAAGGGCAAAAUUGUCCCCUAUUGAAAAUCAUUGCUCACAUUAUCAGACUGCUCUUUACAAAACAUCGAGAUGGUCAUGCUACCCCAGGCUCACAGGUUUUGAAGAACUCUAUCGAGGAUAAUUAUAGGAUGAAUUCCAACUCUUCAUCAUAGUAUUCAGGGUUGUCAUAACAUGGCUUUGUGUAUCUCGCUAGCUCAAAUUUAGCCUAUUUAUUUUCCUUAAGCUUUAUAUUCCAUCCAUGCAAAAUGGCUUAAUGUUUUAUUUACACACUUUUUAAUAUUUUUGUAACUCUGCUUGCUCUAAUAUCUUUGAUUACAUUAUCCUGCCAUACAUCUCUCCUCUCAUCUCCCAAUUCCUGAUUUAUUGACCCUUACGGUUAAUCUAGAGGAGCAUUUUCUUCUGAUGAAGUGUUGCCUGUCCUUACACUAUUCCACGCAGAACUGACUAUUGCUUCCUCUCUGUCCUGCGUUGUACCUACACGUGUAUUGUCCCGGCAUGCUGUUGCUAAAUUGAGGUAAUCAAGAGAAGAUGAAGUUUUCAGUUCUUCAAAGCAUUUCCAAAAAUUGAAAGACUGAUUCCAUCUUUAGUAACAUUACACUGAGGAACUCCAACUUCCCUUGGAGCUUAUGUUUCUAUAUGGCAAGUUUCAAAUAGAAAAACUCCUGUUAUGUCUGCAUGUCAGUCAUAAAUUGUGGUUAUCCUUGGUUUUCUACAUGCCUAAUUCAGUAUUCUAGUCUAUAUGCUUAAAGGCUGGGGAAUGUUCAUUGUACUUAUUUAUAUCUCUGACAUAUAGCAUACUGCUUAAC
Molecule: long non-coding RNA, 2306 nt
Filed under: Homo sapiens (human)
Lineage: Eukaryota; Metazoa; Chordata; Mammalia; Primates; Hominidae
Description: HSALNT0374564
Source: RNAcentral